CCUACGGGGAGCAGCAGUGGGGGAUAUUGCACAAUGGGGGGAACCCUGAUGCAGCGACGCCGCGUGGGUGAAGAAGCGCCUCGGCGCGUAAAGCCCUGUCAGCAGGGAAGAAAAUGACGGUACCUGAAGAAGAAGCCCCGGCUAACUACAUGCCAGCAGCCGCGGUAAUACGUAGGGGGCAAGCGUUAUCCGGAUUUACUGGGUGGAAAGGGGGCGCAGACGGCGAUGCAAGCCAGGAGUGAAAGCCCGGGGCCCAACCCCGGGACUGCUCUUGGAACUGCGUGGCUGGAGUGCAGGAGGGGCAGGCGGAAUUCCGGGUGUAGCGGUGAAAUGCGUAGAUAUCAGGAGGAACACCGGUGGCGAAGGCGGCCUGCUGGACUGCAACUGACGUUGAGGCCCGAAAGCGUGGGGAGCAAACAGGAUUAGAUACCCCAGUAGUC
Molecule: ribosomal RNA, 440 nt
Filed under: uncultured bacterium
Lineage: Bacteria
Description: partial 16S ribosomal RNA
Rfam family: Bacterial small subunit ribosomal RNA
Source: RNAcentral